CCAACAUCAAUGGAAGAAAUUAAACUUACCUCAAAGCAUAAGGUCAAUUGUUUGUCUUAACAUGCCUAGCUUCCCUGGUAGACUAGACCCUUGGGGCAAGCCAAAUUUUAGGAGAAAAAAAGAGAGAAACUUUACAUCAUCUUUUGUAGAUGAUGAACUUCUUGAGAUAAUAGGAUUUAGAGAUUCAUGGCAUGGGGAAAUUUUUCUUCCUUUGAAUGACCAUGGGACUCGUCUUGCACAAGUUAGUUCUAUGCAUGUAUAUUUUUUUUAAUCAAACCAGGCCUAAAACAUGUCUAAAAUUGAUCAUAUAAUUUUUGUUACAAUUAUAUGUUAUGCAAAAUAUUAAUAAGUAUUUAAAGUUUUAGUUUUAAUAUAUAAUAGUGGUAGUGAUGAUGAAACUAAUAUGUUAAUAAGAUGCAUCUUCAAAUAUCAAGUAUAGACUAACUUCUAUUUUUUCUUCUUCCUCUUCUUUGUUUACUUCUCAAUUCAGGCACACCGAAUUCGCUUUGAGCUUCACAAAGGGGUAGCUAAGCAUAUUGACAUGAAUUUUGAUGGGACAAGAUGGAAACAACCUACCCCUAUUGGUGAUGACAACUUCCUGAUUGAAAUCUCUUAUUCAUGUAAAACCAAAAUGCUUGCAACUUCAGCUUCAAAAUGCAAACACAAAUCUAAGUCCUGCUCCAAUUAAAUCUUUUCAACAGGGUUGAAAUCUUCAGUGAGGUUUUCAUGCUAAACCUUUAUAUGAGGAUAACAUGAUAAAAACUUUAUAUGUAUAUAUAUAAAGCCAAAAAUAUUUGAUGGGUGGA
Long non-coding RNA from Vitis vinifera (wine grape), 806 nucleotides. RefSeq lists it as uncharacterized. The record is from RefSeq and is a predicted model, not a curated record. The transcript is spliced from 3 exons. NCBI's taxonomy places the organism in Eukaryota, Viridiplantae, Streptophyta, Magnoliopsida, Vitales, Vitaceae.